This 885-nucleotide ribosomal RNA is filed under the name uncultured bacterium. Its description in RNAcentral is "bacterial SSU rRNA". It matches the Rfam family "Bacterial small subunit ribosomal RNA", at positions 56 to 957 of the family's 1533-position model. The record is from RNAcentral.
UGCAAGUCGAGCGAGAAUUUUUAAGAAGAUACUUCGGUUGAUUCUUAGGAAGGACAGCGGCGAAAGGGAGAGUAACGAGUAGAUACGUACCCAAGGGUUCGGGAUAGCCAUGCGAAAGCGUGAGUAAUACCGAAUAAUGUCUCCGGACCAAAGAUUUAUUGCCCUUGGAGCGGUUUGCUUACUAUUAGCUUGUUGGUGGGGUAAAGGCCUACCAAGGCUUAGAUGGUUAGCGGGUGUGAGAGCAUGACCCGUCUCACUGGGACUGAGACACUGCCCAGACACCUACGGGUGGCUGCAGUCGAGAAUCUUCCGCAAUGGACGAAAGUCUGACGGAGCGACGCCGCGUGCUGGAUGAAGGCCCUCGGGUUGUAAACAGCUGUCGUAGGGGAGGAAAUUUUGACCGAUCCUAGGAGGAAGCACAGGCUAAGUUCGUGCCAGCAGCCGCGGUAAUACGAACUGUGCAAACGUUAUUCGGAAUCACUGGGCUUAAAGGGUGCGUAGGCGGGUUGGUAGGUCAGAUGUGAAAUCCCACGGCUCAACCGUGGAAUUGCGUUUGAAACCACUAGUCUUGAGGGGAUCAGAGGAGAGCGGAACUGAUGGUGGAGCGGUGAAAUGCGUUGAUAUUAUCAGGAACACCGGUGGCGAAAGCGGCUCUCUGGGAUCCUUCUGACGCUGAGGCACGAAAGCUAGGGGAGCGAACGGGAUUAGAUACCCCGGUAGUCCUAGCUGUAAACGAUCUGUACUAGUCCGUGGGGACCCCCACAUCUUCUCGGACGUAGCGAAAGUGUUAAGUACAGCGCCUGGGGAGUAUGGUCGCAAGGCUGAAACUCAAAGGAAUUGACGGGGGCUCACACAAGCGGUGGAGGAUGUGGCUUAAUUCGAGGC